RNAcentral lists this ribosomal RNA (399 nucleotides) under uncultured bacterium. Its description in RNAcentral is "bacterial SSU rRNA". It matches the Rfam family "Bacterial small subunit ribosomal RNA", at positions 975 to 1375 of the family's 1533-position model. The record is from RNAcentral.
CAGGUCUUGACAUCCUUUGACAAUCCUAGAGAUAGGACUUUCCCUUCGGGGACAAAGUGACAGGUGGUGCACGGUUGUCGUCAGCUCGUGUCGUGAGAUGUUGGGUUAAGUCCCGCAACGAGCGCAACCCCUAUUGUUAGUUGCCAGCAUUCAGUUGGGCACUCUAAUGAGACUGCCGGUGACAAACCGGAGGAAGGUGGGGAUGACGUCAAAUCAUCAUGCCCCUUAUGACCUGGGCUACACACGUGCUACAAUGGAUGGUACAACGAGCAGCAAGACCGCGAGGUCAAGCGAAUCUCUUAAAGCCAUUCUCAGUUCGGAUUGCAGGCUGCAACUCGCCUGCAUGAAGCCGGAAUCGCUAGUAAUCGCGGAUCAGCACGCCGCGGUGAAUACGUUCCC